UAAAGAGCAUCCAAACAUAACACUUUGCAUAAGGUAUGAAAUAUAUUAGAAAAGCAUGUGUACUAAUUAUCAUGGAUAUUAACUUUAUCCAUUUUACAGGUUGAAGUAUGGUACUGAUAUGUAAACAACACUGAAAUUGUAGAUCGAGAGAUAAGCAUAACGUGUAGAUUUAAAUAUUUCAACAAAUAUGUUGACAGUUGCAUAUUCCGACGUACCGUACUCAUUAUUGACAUUGUAUAGAUGACAACGCAAAUCUAUCGAAACGUAAUCAGAGUUUGUUUGAAAGUAUUACAUGACAGUGUUUUUUUCCGAGAAUUUACCACUUGAAUGCCAAAUAUUAGAAAGGAAGUCUAUAAAUUGCUGAAACGUCGUCCAGGAAAAUAUUGUGCGAUUUAGAUGUUAUCAAGGACACGUCAAAUCUAAAGGCAAGAUGUGGCCUUAAGAUCAAUUAAAACAAAUAAAGGAAAUGUGUUCAUUCGUCAAUUCCCCUCUGUAUUGUACAAUGUUAAACAAGUGUAUGUGUAG
Mytilus trossulus (common blue mussel) is the source of this 525-nucleotide long non-coding RNA. RefSeq lists it as uncharacterized. The record is from RefSeq and is a predicted model, not a curated record. NCBI's taxonomy places the organism in Eukaryota, Metazoa, Mollusca, Bivalvia, Mytilida, Mytilidae. The transcript has 3 exons.